AGGGGAGCGUUCUGUAAGCCUGUGAAGGUGUGUCGUGAGGCAUGCUGGAGGUAUCAGAAGUGCGAAUGCUGACAUAAGUAACGAUAAAGCGGGUGAAAAGCCCGCUCGCCGGAAGACCAAGGGUUCCUGUCCAACGUUAAUCGGGGCAGGGUGAGUCGACCCCUAAGGCGAGGCCGAAAGGCGUAGUCGAUGGGAAACGGGUUAAUAUUCCCGUACUUGGUGUUACUGCGAAGGGGGGACGGAGAAGGCUAUGUUGGCCGGGCGACGGUUGUCCCGGUUUAAGCGUGUAGGUGUGUGUUCCAGGUAAAUCCGGUUCACUUUAACACUGAGGCGUGACGACGAGGCACUACGGUGCUGAAGCAACAAAUGCCCUGCUUCCAGGAAAAGCCUCUAAGCAUCAGGUAACAUCAAAUCGUACCCCAAACCGACACAGGUGGUCAGGUAGAGAAUACCAAGGCGCUUGAGAGAACUCGGGUGAAGGAACUAGGCAAAAUGGUGCCGUAACUUCGGGAGAAGGCACGCUGACACGUAGGUGAAGUGAUUUACUCAUGGAGCUGAAGUCAGUCGAAGAUACCAGCUGGCUGCAACUGUUUAUUAAAAACACAGCACUGUGCAAACACGAAAGUGGACGUAUACGGUGUGACGCCUGCCCGGUGCCGGAAGGUUAAUUGAUGGGGUCAGCGCAAGCGAAGCUCCUGAUCGAAGCCCCGGUAAACGGCGGCCGUAACUAUAACGGUCCUAAGGUAGCGAAAUUCCUUGUCGGGUAAGUUCCGACCUGCACGAAUGGCGUAAUGAUGGCCAGGCUGUCUCCACCCGAGACUCAGUGAAAUUGAACUCGCUGUGAAGAUGCAGUGUACCCGCGGCAAGACGGAAAGACCCCGUGAACCUUUACUAUAGCUUGACACUGAACAUUGAGCCUUGAUGUGUAG
This 929-nucleotide ribosomal RNA is filed under the name Salmonella enterica. Its description in RNAcentral is "partial 23S ribosomal RNA". It matches the Rfam family "Bacterial large subunit ribosomal RNA", at positions 1230 to 2141 of the family's 2925-position model. Lineage: Bacteria; Pseudomonadati; Pseudomonadota; Gammaproteobacteria; Enterobacterales; Enterobacteriaceae. The record is from RNAcentral.